This 264-nucleotide ribosomal RNA is filed under the name uncultured bacterium. Its description in RNAcentral is "partial 16S ribosomal RNA". It matches the Rfam family "Bacterial small subunit ribosomal RNA", at positions 95 to 354 of the family's 1533-position model. The record is from RNAcentral.
CCGGCACACGGGUGAGUAACGCGUAUGCGACCUGCCCGUUGCAGGGGGGAUAAUCGGGAGAAAUCCCGUCUAAUACCGCGUAACGCCGCGGGGCUGCAUGGCCCUGCGGCCAAAGGGAGCGAUUCCGGCAACGGAUGGGCAUGCGUGACAUUAGCUAGUUGGCGGGGCAACGGCCCACCAAGGCGACGAUGUCUAGGGGUUCUGAGAGGAAGGUCCCCCACACUGGUACUGAGACACGGACCAGACUCCUACGGGAGGCAGCAG